RNAcentral lists this ribosomal RNA (253 nucleotides) under uncultured bacterium. RNAcentral's name for it is "partial 16S ribosomal RNA". It matches the Rfam family "Bacterial small subunit ribosomal RNA", at positions 524 to 776 of the family's 1533-position model. The record is from RNAcentral.
UACGUAAGGGGCUAGCGUUGUCCGGAUUUAUUGGGCGUAAAGAGCGUGUAGGCGGCCAGGUAGGUCCGUUGUGAAAACUCGAGGCUCAACCUCGAGACGUCGGCGGAAACCCUCUGGCUAGAGUCCGGAAGAGGAGAGUGGAAUUCCUGGUGUAGCGGUGAAAUGCGCAGAUAUCAGGAAGAACACCCGUGGCGAAGGCGGCUCUCUGGGACGGUACUGACGCUGAGACGCGAAAGCGUGGGGAGCAAACAGG